UCUCUUAAAGUAAUUUUUUACUUUUUAAUUUCGACUUAAAAAUAUGAUUUUUAUAAAAUCUGAGAGAA
Molecule: transfer RNA, 68 nt
Filed under: Stenamma expolitum
Lineage: Eukaryota; Metazoa; Arthropoda; Insecta; Hymenoptera; Formicidae
Description: tRNA-Arg
Source: RNAcentral